GAUGAACGCUAGCGGCAGGCCUAACACAUGCAAGUCGAGGGGUAGAAGGAGCUUGCUCCUUUGAAACCGGCGCACGGGUGCGUAACGCGUAUGCAAUCUACCUUGUACAGGGGAAUAGCCCAGAGAAAUUUGGAUUAAUGCCCCAUAGUAUAUAACCUUCGCAUGUUGGUUAUAUUAAAGUUCCAACGGUACAAGAUGAGCAUGCGUCCCAUUAGUUAGUUGGUAAGGUAACGGCUUACCAAGACGAUGAUGGGUAGGGGUCCUGAGAGGGAGAUCCCCCACACUGGUACUGAGACACGGACCAGACUCCUACGGGAGGCAGCAGUGAGGAAUAUUGGUCAAUGGUCGCAAGACUGAACCAGCCAUGCCGCGUGCAGGAAGACGGUCCUAUGGAUUGUAAACUGCUUUUAUACAGGAAGAAACCCUCCCACGUGUGGGAGCUUGACGGUACUGUAGGAAUAAGGAUCGGCUAACUCCGUG
This 480-nucleotide ribosomal RNA is filed under the name uncultured bacterium. RNAcentral's name for it is "partial 16S ribosomal RNA". It matches the Rfam family "Bacterial small subunit ribosomal RNA", at positions 28 to 507 of the family's 1533-position model. The record is from RNAcentral.